GUGGGGUGGGGUGGGGUGAAAACGAUUGAUUGUGAUCUUCACUACCUUUUAGCUUUAUGCGUGCCCUCUUAUUUGCUUGUGUAUUCUCAUGGGUUAUUCUAUGUCGCCGUCACGUUCAUCGUUUGCAGGCUUGCUUGCUUAUGUAUUUACUCACUUCCUUACUUUCUUCCUUACUUACUGGCACGGUCUUCCUCUGUCUCUGUCGCCCAGGAUCACCCCAGCCUCCACGCUUUGGACCGACCGAGAAGAGGUCGUCCUGCCUCUGAUCCCUCCCAUCCCCAUUACCUGGGACUACAGGCACGCACCACCACACCGGUUGACUUUUAUGUUGUUUCUCAUGUUUUCCGUAGGUGUCUUCUCACAUGUCGACGUGAUCUCAAACUGUUAGGCCCCAGCGAUCCUCCCACGUCGGCCUCCCAGAGUGCUGUGACGACACCUGUGAGUCACGACGCAGUGUCACUCUUGUCGCCCAGGGUGGAGUCCGAUGGCGCGAUCUCGGCUCACCGCAACCUCCGCCUCCUAGGUUCGACUGAUUCUCCUGCCUCAGCCUUCCCGGGUGACGGGAAUGCGCCAUCAUGCCCGGCUAAUUUUCCUAUUUUCGGUACACGCGGGGUCUCUCCAUCUUGGUCAGUCUCGUCUUCAACUUCCGACCGUUGGAGAAUUUUAACUUUCUUGGUGGUUGCUUCUCUUUUUUUUUUUUUUUUCGUUUUUCCUUUCCUUCUCCUCCCCCACCCCCACCCCCCAUGUUCUCCUCCU
Long non-coding RNA from Symphalangus syndactylus (siamang), 756 nucleotides. RefSeq lists it as uncharacterized. Lineage: Eukaryota; Metazoa; Chordata; Mammalia; Primates; Hylobatidae. The record is from RefSeq and is a predicted model, not a curated record.